This 2756-nucleotide ribosomal RNA is filed under the name Streptococcus pneumoniae GA11426. RNAcentral describes it as "bacterial LSU rRNA". It matches the Rfam family "Bacterial large subunit ribosomal RNA". The record is from RNAcentral. Lineage: Bacteria; Bacillati; Bacillota; Bacilli; Lactobacillales; Streptococcaceae.
GUUACCUACAUCUGUUAAGGAUGUGAGGAGGAAGACGCAGUGAACUGAAACAUCUAAGUAGCUGCAGGAAGAGAAAGCAAAAGCGAUUGCCUUAGUAGCGGCGAGCGAAACGGCAGAAGGGCAAACCGAAGAGUUUACUCUUCGGGGUUGUAGGACUGCAAUGUGGACUCAAAGAUUAUAGAAGAAUGAUUUGGGAAGAUCAGCCAAAGAGAGUAAUAGCCUCGUAUUUAAAAUAGUCUUUGUACUUAGCAGUAUCCUGAGUACGGCGGGACACGUGAAAUCCCGUCGGAAUCUGGGAGGACCAUCUCCCAACCCUAAAUACUCCCUAGUGACCGAUAGUGAACCAGUACCGUGAGGGAAAGGUGAAAAGCACCCCGGGAGGGGAGUGAAAUAGAACCUGAAACCGUGUGCCUACAACAAGUUCGAGCCCGUUAAUGGGUGAGAGCGUGCCUUUUGUAGAAUGAACCGGCGAGUUACGUUAUGAUGCGAGGUUAAGUUGAAGAGACGGAGCCGUAGGGAAACCGAGUCUGAAUAGGGCGCCUUAGUAUCAUGACGUAGACCCGAAACCAUGUGACCUACCCAUGAGCAGGUUGAAGGUGCGGUAAGACGCACUGGAGGACCGAACCAGGGCACGUUGAAAAGUGCUUGGAUGACUUGUGGGUAGCGGAGAAAUUCCAAACGAACUUGGAGAUAGCUGGUUCUCUCCGAAAUAGCUUUAGGGCUAGCGUCGACAUUAGAGAUUCUUGGAGGUAGAGCACUGUUUGGGUGAGGGGUCCAUCCCGGAUUACCAAUCUCAGAUAAACUCCGAAUGCCAAUGAAUUAUGGUCGGCAGUCAGACUGCGAGUGCUAAGAUCCGUAGUCGAAAGGGAAACAGCCCAGACCACCAGCUAAGGUCCCAAAAUAAUUGUUAAGUGGAAAAGGAUGUGGGGUUGCACAGACAACUAGGAUGUUAGCUUAGAAGCAGCUAUUCAUUCAAAGAGUGCGUAAUAGCUCACUAGUCGAGUGACCCUGCGCCGAAAAUGUACCGGGGCUAAAACAAUUUACCGAAGCUGUGGAUACCUUUAUAGGUAUGGUAGGAGAGCGUUCUAUGUGUGAUGAAGGUAUACCGUGAGGAGUGCUGGAACGCAUAGAAGUGAGAAUGCCGGUAUGAGUAGCGAAAGACAGGUGAGAAUCCUGUCCACCGUAAGACUAAGGUUUCCAGGGGAAGGCUCGUCCGCCCUGGGUUAGUCGGGACCUAAGGAGAGACCGAAAGGUGUAUCCGAUGGACAACAGGUUGAUAUUCCUGUACUAGAGUAUGUAGUGAUGGAGGGACGCAGUAGGCUAACUAAAGCAGACGAUUGGAAGAGUCUGUCUAAGCAGUGAGGUGUGAAUUGAGUCAAAUGCUUAAUUCUAUAACAUUGAGCUGUGAUGGGGAGCGAAGUUUAGUAGCGAAGUUAGUGACGUCACACUGCCAAGAAAAGCUUCUAGCGUUUAAACAUACUCUACCCGUACCGCAAACCGACACAGGUAGUCGAGGCGAGUAGCCUCAGGUGAGCGAGAGAACUCUCGUUAAGGAACUCGGCAAAAUGACCCCGUAACUUCGGGAGAAGGGGUGCUGACUUAAAGUCAGCCGCAGUGAAUAGGCCCAAGCAACUGUUUAUCAAAAACACAGCUCUCUGCUAAAUCGUAAGAUGAUGUAUAGGGGGUGACGCCUGCCCGGUGCUGGAAGGUUAGAGGAGUGCUUAGCGUAAGCGAAGGUAUGAAUUGAAGCCCCAGUAAACGGCGGCCGUAACUAUAACGGUCCUAAGGUAGCGAAAUUCCUUGUCGGGUAAGUUCCGACCCGCACGAAAGGCGUAAUGAUUUGGGCACUGUCUCAACGAGAGACUCGGUGAAAUUUUAGUACCUGUGAAGAUGCAGGUUACCCGCGACAGGACGGAAAGACCCCAUGGAGCUUUACUGCAGUUUGAUAUUGAGUGUCUGUACCACAUGUACAGGAUAGGUAGGAGUCUAAGAGAUCGGGACGCCAGUUUCGAAGGAGACGCUGUUGGGAUACUACCCUUGUGUUAUGGCCACUCUAACCCAGAUAGGUGAUCCCUAUCGGAGACAGUGUCUGACGGGCAGUUUGACUGGGGCGGUCGCCUCCUAAAAGGUAACGGAGGCGCCCAAAGGUUCCCUCAGAAUGGUUGGAAAUCAUUCGCAGAGUGUAAAGGUAUAAGGGAGCUUGACUGCGAGAGCUACAACUCGAGCAGGGACGAAAGUCGGGCUUAGUGAUCCGGUGGUUCCGUAUGGAAGGGCCAUCGCUCAACGGAUAAAAGCUACCCUGGGGAUAACAGGCUUAUCUCCCCCAAGAGUUCACAUCGACGGGGAGGUUUGGCACCUCGAUGUCGGCUCGUCGCAUCCUGGGGCUGUAGUCGGUCCCAAGGUUGGGCUGUUCGCCCAUUAAAGCGGCACGCGAGCUGGGCUCAGAACGUCGUGAGACAGUUCGGUCCCUAUCCGUCGCGGGCGUAGGAAAUUUGAGAGGAUCUGCUCCUAGUGCGAGAGGACCAGAGUGGACUUACCGCUGGUGUACCAGUUGUCUUGCCAAAGGCAUCGCUGGGUAGCUAUGUAGGGAAGGGAUAAACGCUGAAAGCAUCUAAGUGUGAAACCCACCUCAAGAUGAGAUUUCCCAUGAUUAUAUAUCAGUAAGAGCCCUGAGAGAUGAUCAGGUAGAUAGGUUAGAAGUGGAAGUGUGGCGACACAUGUAGCGGACUAAUACUAAUAGCUCGAGGACUUAUCCA